RNAcentral lists this ribosomal RNA (394 nucleotides) under uncultured Chrysophyceae. RNAcentral describes it as "partial small subunit ribosomal RNA". It matches the Rfam family "Eukaryotic small subunit ribosomal RNA", at positions 30 to 432 of the family's 1831-position model. The record is from RNAcentral. Lineage: Eukaryota; Chrysophyceae.
GCUUGUCUCAAAGAUUAAGCCAUGCAUGUCUAAGUAUAAGCAAACUUGUACUGUGAAACUGCGAAUGGCUCAUUAUAUCAGUUAUAGUCUACUCGAUAGUACCUUACUACUUGGAUAACCGUAGUAAUUCUAGAGCUAAUACAUGCAUCAAACCCCGACUCACGAAGGGGUGUAUUUAUUAGAUGGAAACCAAUGCGGGGCAACCCGGUAUAUGGUGAUUCAUAAUAACUUUCGGAUCGAUCUUCGGAUCGAUGCAUCAUUCAAGUUUCUGCCCUAUCAGCUUUGGAUGGUAGGGUAUUGGCCUACCAUGGCUUUAACGGGUAACGGAGAAUUAGGGUUCGAUUCCGGAGAGGGAGCCUGAGAAAUGGCUACCACAUCCAAGGAAGGCAGCAGG